This 879-nucleotide long non-coding RNA is filed under the name Homo sapiens (human). RNAcentral's name for it is "HSALNT0293473". Lineage: Eukaryota; Metazoa; Chordata; Mammalia; Primates; Hominidae. The record is from RNAcentral.
GGGCUUCGAGCGUCCCCGGGCGCUACAGGUGGGUGAAGUUAAGUGGCUGCUGGAGCGUCUCGGGGGACAGCCAGUGUCUGCGGCGCCGAGAGGGCCGUUCGUGGACUCAAAUGGGUAUCACCCCUACCGUUUAUAGUCCUCCCAAUAGUCUGCAUCUCGUUUUGUCGUGGCUGGUCGUGUACUCCUUGUGGAGUCUGAAGAUAAUCAAGCUAAGCACACAGGAUGACUGCCCAAGAAGCAAGUGACCGCAAUGGUGAAGCUGGGCCUCCACCCUGCCGUCUGGCUGACUUCAAGGCCUGCACAGCCUCUUAAGCCGCAUCCUGCUUGCUGCCUCCAAGCUUUCCUGACUGCAGCCUUUUCUCCAGUCACUUUUGAUAGAGGAGUUAAGAAGAAAUUACUUAGGCAGAUAGUGAGGGUAUGGAAGUCCUCGGUAAGGUUUUCCUUUUAAUGAAAAGCAGCCCCAAAUCAUUUUCCUUUCUAACAAACAGCAGCCUGUAAAAUCAAGCUGCAGACAUAGAUGCCGGCAGUUGUGCCAAUCAUGUUCAGAAUGGUGGCUCCCUUCUCCCUUCUCUGCCAGCCAUAUGUACAGUAAGGAGCAGACAACAUGGCUCGGGCCAAGGGUAAAGUUGAUUUGCAUAAUAAGAUUAGGGUGGGGCCCACCAGCCUUCCCCUGCACUAUGUAAACAUCACGCCUGACUGAACCAAUCUGUGAGCCCUAUGUAAAUCAGACAAUGCCUUCUCAAGCCUGACUAUAAAAUCCUGUGAGUCCACUGCCAGCCAGUCUUUCCUCUGGGAAGCCCCUCUCUCUCCCUAGAGAGAGCUGGUUUCCUUUCUCCUUUCUUUUUCUUUUGCAUAUUAAACUUCCACUCCUAAACUCCU